UCCGUAGGUGGAUAAUUAAGUCAGAGGUGAAAUCCUGCAGCUCAACUGUAGAAUUGCCUUUGAUACUGGUUAUCUUGAAUUAUUGUGAAGUGGUUAGAAUAUGUAGUGUAGCGGUGAAAUGCAUAGAUAUUACAUAGAAUACCAAUUGCGAAGGCAGACAACUAACAAUAUAUUGACACUGAUGGACGAAAGCGUAGGGAGCGAACAGGAUUAGAUACCCUGGUAGUCA
This 229-nucleotide ribosomal RNA is filed under the name uncultured bacterium. RNAcentral's name for it is "partial 16S ribosomal RNA". It matches the Rfam family "Bacterial small subunit ribosomal RNA", at positions 568 to 796 of the family's 1533-position model. The record is from RNAcentral.